Ochotona princeps (American pika) is the source of this 112-nucleotide ribosomal RNA. NCBI's taxonomy places the organism in Eukaryota, Metazoa, Chordata, Mammalia, Lagomorpha, Ochotonidae. The record is from Ensembl.
GUCUGCGGCAAUACCAACCUGAGUACACCCUAUGUCCUCUGAUAUCUGGAAGCUAAGCAGGGACAGGUCUGCUUAGUAUUUGGAUCGGAGAAAGAAAAUAGAGAGGCAGAGA